GCGCAUCAUAGCUCAGUGGCAGAGCACUGGUCUUGUAAACCAGGGAUCCUGAGUUCGAUCCUCACUGGUGGCU
This is a non-coding RNA of Trichonephila inaurata madagascariensis, 73 nucleotides long. The record is from the annotation of a GenBank genome assembly. Lineage: Eukaryota; Metazoa; Arthropoda; Arachnida; Araneae; Nephilidae.